RNAcentral lists this ribosomal RNA (436 nucleotides) under uncultured bacterium. Its description in RNAcentral is "partial 16S ribosomal RNA". It matches the Rfam family "Bacterial small subunit ribosomal RNA", at positions 28 to 507 of the family's 1533-position model. The record is from RNAcentral.
GAUGAACGCUGGCGGUAUGCUUAACACAUGCAAGUCGAACGGGGUGCAUAGUCUCCUUGUGGCGGACGGGUGCGUAACGCGGGAGAAUCUGGCCUCAGGUCCGGGACAACCACGGGUAACGGUGGCUAAUACCGGCUGUGCCAUAUUGGGUAAAGAGUAAUUACCUGAGGAUGAGGUCGCGUCGGAUUAGCUAGAUGGUGGGGUGAAGGCUUACCAAGUCGACGAUCAGUAACCGGUCUAAGGGGACGACCAGUCACACUGUGAAUGAGACACGACCCAGGCUCCUUCGAGAGGGAGCAGUAGGGAAAUUUCCGCAAUGGGCGAAAGCCUGACAGAGCAAUGCCGCGUGAGGGAGGAAGGCUCUUGGGUUGUAAACCUCUUUUCUCAGGGAGGAAGAAUGACGUUACCUGAGGAAUCAGCAUCGGCUAACUCCGUG